UAGAAAUAUGAAAUGAGAGCAGAAGAGCACUCCCCUUGGUUAGGAUGGAAGAAGCCCUAAUGAACUUAACCAUGUUUAAGACUGUCACUUACUUUUUGGCAUCUAAUGUAUAU
Molecule: non-coding RNA, 113 nt
Filed under: Aquila chrysaetos chrysaetos
Lineage: Eukaryota; Metazoa; Chordata; Aves; Accipitriformes; Accipitridae
Source: RNAcentral